This 242-nucleotide long non-coding RNA is filed under the name Setaria viridis. Its description in RNAcentral is "long non-coding RNA (SVIR_LNC001951)". The record is from RNAcentral. Lineage: Eukaryota; Viridiplantae; Streptophyta; Magnoliopsida; Poales; Poaceae.
CACGUAUUUUUUGCCCAACACGAGAACAACCCUGCAUAGUGGCCUCCGUGCCCGUGCUAGCUCAUGCCGGGCGUAGGCCGCCACCCCAGCACGCCGAGCGACACAAGCUAACACGAUUUUAAGAGGCAGCCCGUUAAGGCCCCAUUAUGCUCUACCCCAUGUAAAUGAAGCAAAAAACCCUAGCAGUCAGACUCCUCCUUCCCCCACUGCCACCUACCUUUCUCAGACUCUCACCCUCUCCG